AUUGAACGCUGGCGGCAUGCCUUACACAUGCAAGUCGAACGGCAGCGGGGGAGAAGCUUGCUUUUCCUGCCGGCGAGUGGCGAACGGGUGAGUAAUACAUCGAAACGUGCCCUGUAGUGGGGGAUAACUAGUCGAAAGAUUAGCUAAUACCGCAUACGACCUGAGGGUGAAAGUGGGGGACCGCAAGGCCUCAUGCUAUAGGAGCGGCCGAUGUCUGAUUAGCUAGUUGGUGGGGUAAAGGCCUACCAAGGCGACGAUCAGUAGCUGGUCUGGGAGGACGAUCAGCCACACUGGGACUGAGACACGGCCCAGACUCCUACGGGAGGCAGCAGUGGGGAAUUUUGGACAAUGGGCGAAAGCCUGAUCCAGCAAUGCCGCGUGUGUGAAGAAGGCCUUCGGGUUGUAAAGCACUUUUGUCCGGAAAGAAAUGGCUCUGGUUAACACCUGGGGUCGAUGACGGUACCGGAAGAAUAAGGACAGGCUAACUACGUGCCAGCCGCCGCGGUAA
This 508-nucleotide ribosomal RNA is filed under the name uncultured bacterium. Its description in RNAcentral is "partial 16S ribosomal RNA". It matches the Rfam family "Bacterial small subunit ribosomal RNA", at positions 30 to 523 of the family's 1533-position model. The record is from RNAcentral.